Molecule: ribosomal RNA, 250 nt
Filed under: uncultured bacterium
Lineage: Bacteria
Description: partial 16S ribosomal RNA
Rfam family: Bacterial small subunit ribosomal RNA
Source: RNAcentral
UACGGAGGGUGCAAGCGUUAUCCGGAUUUACUGGGUUUAAAGGGUGCGUAGGUGGGUCUGUAAGUCAGUGGUGAAAUCUUCGAGCUUAACUCGGAAACUGCCAUUGAUACUAUAGGUCUUGAAUCAUCUGGAGGUGAGCGGAAUAUGUCAUGUAGCGGUGAAAUGCUUAGAUAUGACAUAGAACACCGAUUGCGAAGGCAGCUCACUACGGAUGUAUUGACACUGAGGCACGAAAGCGUGGGGAUCAAAC